Molecule: non-coding RNA, 574 nt
Filed under: Pongo abelii (Sumatran orangutan)
Lineage: Eukaryota; Metazoa; Chordata; Mammalia; Primates; Hominidae
Source: RNAcentral
GCCAAGCUGCAACUGGAACUCAGAAUUUCUGGUUCCCAGUUCUAUAUCUUAGCCUCCCAAACUGGCUAUGUGGACAGGAAAGAACAGAGGCAUGGGGUGAGCUUUAAGGAUGCAAUUUCAUAGGAUUCCAAGAGUCUCAAGGUUAGAGAAGUCGCCUAGUCCACCUCCCCUCUCUGCUUCUCACAGAAGGGUCUGCUGAACACUCUGGUGACAAGGUUAGAGAAGUCGCUUAGUCCACCUCCCCUCUCUGCUUCUCACAGAAGGGUCUGCUGAACACUCUGGUGACAGAGAACUCACCCAACAUGUUCCAUGGCAGAGGCUCUUCAUUAGAUCAAGGUGACAUCUGUUUUACUGGAGCUUCCAACCACGUGUCCCAAUACUGCUCUUAGUCACAUGCAUCCAGGUCCUCUCUCUCAGGACAGCACUUUGAAUAAAUGAGGACAGCUCCCAUCCCCCUUUCUCCCAUAGCUGGGACUACAGGGGCCCGCCACCACGCUCGGUAAUUUUUGUAUUUUUAGUAGAGACGGGGUUUCACCAUGUUGACCAGGAUGGUCUCAAUCUCUUGACCUUGUGA